UCUUCGCGCUGAAACACUUGUCGGUCUCUUACGAUGAUCAAGUACGUUAGCAAGGUGGCUCAUCGGGUAGUAUGCUGUAAGAAUCUUCGUAAGUAACAACAUCGUUUUUUUUUCUCCUUUGCAUUUGGAUGGACGGAGUUCGUGUAAGCAGGUAUCAUUAAGACAAAUUGAAACAGUGGAUCUCUCUCGAUAUUAAGUGUAAUAAUAUCAAUCGAUGAUUUAAAAAAAAAAAAAAAAAUUCAGAAGAAGGACUUGACAAAAUGUGGAAAAUGGAUUCCCGAGAAGGGCCUAUAGUUAGUCGCUUUCCACGACCAAAUCUACGUGGGAUGACAAGAGAUAGAAUCACGGCAGGACGUGUAAAUGAGAAUUGAUCUUACACUUUAAUAAUGAAUUUGAACAACAAAUAUAAAGUUGAUCAACUUAAUUAUUCGAGAAUGAGAUGAUACCAGAGGUGAUUUGAAUCAACCGGUCGUGGGAAUUGACGGAAGUUGCCAAAGUGUUUGAAAAAUGGCGGACAAGUUUGAAACAACCUAUCGAUGUCCUAAUGAAACUAAUAAUCGUAAAGGAGAUUGCAAGAGUGUAGCUAGCAUAACGACGACGACUACGACUACGACGACGACGACUAUGAUGGUGAGAGCGAUCUGUGAAGAGAGAAAGAGAGUAAAAGAGUUAGUUAUAGAGUGAAAGAGAGAGAGAGAGAGAAAGAGAAAGAGAGAAAGCAAAGGAUCAAGAACAGGAGGGAGAGAGUUCACUCGUGAAACGAGACGGUGUAUGGAAUAGCAAGGAAUGGAAUGGCAUGGCAUGAAACGAAGGUAGUCAGUUCGCAUUGAACUGCCGAAUCGCACGCGUCGACAAUAUUCCUAUCAUCAUCGUCCAAAAGGACGUCGCGACGUCCGCGUGUUAACCGUCCCUUUAUUACAACGGGACACCCCCGCCUAACAUUUCUUUUUUUUUUUUGCUUUUUUUAUCGAGUCAACGUCAUUGCUGAAAGGAUUACCAGUGAAGAAAACAGGAUACCUAUGUACAGGUGCGAUCGUUGAUUAUUUUUUUUCCUCUUCCACCACUUGUAGAAUCAAACGAAAGAAAAGAGAAAUUAAUUAUCAUACGUUCGAAGAUUGUACAGUAUAUAAAAGUCGAUAUAUAUUGAUUAUCUCGAUGAAAUUAACAUAAUUAAAGUAAUUAAUAAAUAUAUAUAUGCAUGUAUAUGCAUGUAUUCAAAUGGUUGUUUAAUUUGUUCAAAAUUUUCGCGCGCCUUAAUGGCGCUUAAGUUAUCACAAGAAUGGCGGAACGAGGAUUGUUCGUUCGUACGAUAAAAAUCAAAUAAU
Molecule: long non-coding RNA, 1325 nt
Organism: Polistes dominula (European paper wasp)
Lineage: Eukaryota; Metazoa; Arthropoda; Insecta; Hymenoptera; Vespidae
Source: RefSeq, a predicted model, not a curated record